CAGAGUAGAGCUUUUGCGUCAAGUGCCUUCGGAACGGGGAGUUGAACGAAGGACGAAGAUAUCCGCAAAUCAUUCAGCGGAUAUUGCGGUAAAUGCUCGCAUCCCGCUGU
RNAcentral lists this non-coding RNA (110 nucleotides) under human gut metagenome. RNAcentral describes it as "THF riboswitch". It matches the Rfam family "THF (Tetrahydrofolate) riboswitch aptamer". From Rfam's summary of the family: THF riboswitch presents a pseudoknot that joins P1-P2 and the loop of P3 and two THF binding. The record is from RNAcentral.